UUAAAAAUAACUCAAAAAGACAUGUUUUUGUUAAACAGGCGGGUAAAAUUUUUGCCGAGUUCUUUAUACAAACUUAUCAUAUAAAAUUACAUAUACAAAAAAAUAUACUAAUUCUAUCAUUAUUCCUUUUUAUGUAUAAUUCAUAAAAAAAUUUUUAUAAAUAAAUUAAAAUAUAAUAAAUAAUAUAAUUUAUAAAAUAAUUUAUAACAAACUUUAUAAUGAUUGCUAAUUCUAAGCAUACAUUUUAUAUUACCACUAUUAAUUUUUAAUAAUUUAUUUUAAAGCUUAUCCCUUAAAAUAUUCAAAUAAAUAAAUUUUUCAAUUAAAUAAAUAACUAAAAAAUCAAAAAUUUGUAAAUUAAAUUUAUUUCUAAAAAAACUAGAUACCUUUAUAAACGAAUAACAUUUCGUUUCUAAUAGUUUAUUUAAAAUAAUUUUGACACAUUAACUUUAAUAAACUAUUAACUCUUAUAAAAUCGAGAUUAAUAAUAUAUAUAUUAAUUAUUUGAUAAACCCUGAUACACAAGGUACAAUAAAUUAAAUUUUCUUUUAACACAAAGAUUUUUCAAAAUAUUUCAAUUAUCUUUCACAAUACUAAUCCACUAUUAUUAAUAUUAUUUUUUCAUUAAAAAUUACUAAAACACUUAACUAUAUAAUUAUUUUUAAUAUAUUAAUUUAAAAGCAAAAUAAAAUAAUAAAUAAAUUUUG
Molecule: ribosomal RNA, 707 nt
Filed under: Bactrocera dorsalis (oriental fruit fly)
Lineage: Eukaryota; Metazoa; Arthropoda; Insecta; Diptera; Tephritidae
Description: partial 16S ribosomal RNA
Source: RNAcentral